This 18-nucleotide small nuclear RNA is filed under the name Arabidopsis thaliana (thale cress). RNAcentral's name for it is "snRNA_11324". The record is from RNAcentral. Lineage: Eukaryota; Viridiplantae; Streptophyta; Magnoliopsida; Brassicales; Brassicaceae.
UUAUAGUUCUAGUAGGGA